CAAUAGCGUAUAUUAAAGUUGUUGCAGUUAAAACGCUCGUAGUUGGAUUUCUGUCGAAAUUAACCAUUCCGGCCUUGUGCUUGUGGAUGUGUCGGUUUUGGCAUUCUGCUGAAUUCGGAAAUCUUCACCGAUUCUCCUGUUUUCAGCACUUUUACUUUGAGAAAAUUAGAGUGUUUCAAGCAGGCAUUUGCCUUGAAUACGUUAGCAUGGAAUAAUGAGAUAGGACUUUGGUUCUAUUUGUUGGUUCUAGAACUAGAGUAAUGAUUAAUAGGGAUAGUUGGGGGCAUUCGUAUUUAACUGUCAGAGGUGAAAUUCUUGGAUUUGUUAAAGACGAACUACUGCGAAAGCAUUUGCCAAGGAUGUUUUCAUUAA
RNAcentral lists this ribosomal RNA (372 nucleotides) under uncultured eukaryote. Its description in RNAcentral is "partial 18S ribosomal RNA". It matches the Rfam family "Eukaryotic small subunit ribosomal RNA", at positions 592 to 976 of the family's 1831-position model. The record is from RNAcentral.